GACGAACGCUGGCGGCGUGCCUAAUACAUGCAAGUAGAACGCACAGUUUAUACCGUAGCUUGCUACACCAUAGACUGUGAGUUGCGAACGGGUGAGUAACGCGUAGGUAACCUGCCUGGUAGCGGGGGAUAACUAUUGGAAACGAUAGCUAAUACCGCAUAAUAUUGAUUAUUGCAUGAUAAUUGAUUGAAAGAUGCUAUUGCAUCACUACCAGAUGGACCUGCGUUGUAUUAGCUAGUAGGUGAGGUAACGGCUCACCUAGGCGACGAUACAUAGCCGACCUGAGAGGGUGAUCGGCCACACUGGGACUGGGACACGGCCCAGACUCCUACGGGAGGCAGCAGUAGGGAAUCUUCGGCAAUAGACGAAAGUCUGACCGAGCAACGCCGCGUGAGGGAAGAAGGUUUUCGGAUCGGAAAGCUCUGUUGUAAGGGAAGAACGGGUGUGAGAGUGGAAAGUUCACACUGUGACGGUAUCUUACCAGAAAGGGACGGCUAACUACGUG
RNAcentral lists this ribosomal RNA (505 nucleotides) under uncultured bacterium. RNAcentral describes it as "partial 16S ribosomal RNA". It matches the Rfam family "Bacterial small subunit ribosomal RNA", at positions 28 to 507 of the family's 1533-position model. The record is from RNAcentral.